Non-coding RNA from Meleagris gallopavo (turkey), 4299 nucleotides. The record is from RefSeq and is a predicted model, not a curated record. Lineage: Eukaryota; Metazoa; Chordata; Aves; Galliformes; Phasianidae.
AAAAAAAAAAAAGUGUUUGAAUCAUAGCAUCCACUGUUGAUGAAAAUGCCGUCUUCUGUGUAGUCUCCUGGACUGGCCAAAUGUAUUUUUAAUUAUUCUGCUAACUUGCAUGUAUGCUUACAGUUUCACUUUUUCAGUUUAAAUCAUAGAUGCCAUAGGUUGCUCUUCCUCUCAACGAAGAGUGAAUAAAAAUGUUUCUAGUGUUUCCUCAAUUAAGCAAGGGCGAUCCAAACAGUCUGCAUGUAGCAUUCCUAGGGGGAAGCAGCACCCACCUCACUUGUCAAAUCCAGGGGGAUUUGUCAGUCAUGGGACUUGAAAUUUAUCAACAGUCCAAACAUUUUACAAGCCCGCUGGGGAAAGUUUGGUAGUGUUUGUGUUAAUAGAGCAUUAAUUUCAUUGCAAAUAGUGAUUAGAAAUUUUAAUGUCAAAGUUUAGUGUAUGACUCAUUGAACUGAUUAUAUAUGCUCUUCCUGUAGUUCCCAUAGACAUAAUUGUAAAAAGAGAAUUUAACCUGUACUUUGUUGAGAGAAUGCAUGUAUUCCUUUGGACAGUGCAUUAAAUGUUUUCAUGACGGCAUUAAAGAUUUGUUUUUUUCUUUUCUGUGCUGUACAAAAUCUGCAGGUGUAUGAAAUGUUAGCAUACGGUUAGAACUGUUCAAUCGAAUACUUCUAGAGCAGUGAUAUGUUGAUAACAUUAUUUCAGUGAUGACAGAAAAAAAAUCAUGAUAAUAGUCUGGAGCUGAUAGAAGUCUGAUGACUUGAUUUCAUCACUGUCUAGAGGCAGAGUUAUAGAAAGAUCUCACAGAACUGAAUGAGGGAUAAAAUAGAAGCAGAAUCUCAUUUUCAGAAAUGUGAGGUAAUGCAUAAGAGUGUAAAAAAGACCUCCCUGACUUUAAGUCAGCUAUUACUGCUCCGAAAAGUGUUCUGAUAGAUGCUUUUGUAAAAACAUAACUCAGUUUUCACAAACUGUCAAAAAAAAAAGUAAGUUGUGUUGACUGUUACUGGGGAGGGUUCAUAACAUAAAACAUUACUGUUCUGUGGUAAAAAAUAAAAAUAAAAAAUCCAUGGCAUAUAAUACAGCCCAUUCUUUGAAUGUUUUAUUCAGCACUGAUCCAUCUGCCAGGCUUAUCAUGGAAAAGUGCAGCAAGAAUGAUCAGAGGCUUGGGACAGUUUCUCUGUGCAGAACAGCAGGGCGAUAAGCCAAAUAAAAUAUCCAUUAAUUCUGUGAACAAACAGCAGGUAAAUCUCAGGUCUGCUAUGGCCUGUAUGAUCAUUGUAUUUCAGUACCUCUUGUGUUUCUAGAUACAGUAAAACUAGUUAUUAAAGGUCUGGGAUUUUCACAUUUUUUCUUCUCAUGUUAUCAAGGAAGGAACGUAAUUAAUUGCUUAUUGCCAUAGGAGAGAAUAUGUCACUGAGUUAUGAGCACUUUGUGUAUUCAAGGUAUAGCAAAAGCUGCUCUUAGGAGCUAUAUUCUUCCUGUGUUUCUGUUUCCUCUUUUAUGAUUGCAGCAUUAUGCUGUAGGUAAUACAGUUAUUCAUAGAGAAGUGCUUUAGUAUUAGACAAUAAUUGUAGAUGUUCUGUAAGAACUGGCAGUCAGGGUUUUGGUUAUAUUUUAAAUCAUAAAGCUAAGCAGUUUUAUGGAUGGCAUGUAAAUUAAAUUUGUCAGGUUAAUCCUUGCUUAAUACUUGAUGUCAGCUCUUCAGAGGCACUAAGAAAGGAAUAAGCAUAGCACUUGGUUUGACAUAGCUCUCUUAAAUUUCUUACAGUAGUUUGAAAAACACUGCUUUAGAAAGGAUCAGAAGGGCUUUUCUGGGACAUCACUGGCAAAUAAUAAACUGUACGCAGUUUAUUAUUAAAAGAGAGCAACAUAGUCUUCUGCUUGAUAUCUUUUCUGUGUAAAUGCAAAUGUGAAUAUGUAUGUCAAAUUGAAUGAAAGUGACUUCUGUCUUUGUUAUUGAGUUUUCAAAUUCAUACUGUAGAGAUUCCAAGCUGUCUGUGGCAGAUUCAGAGAGCUGCUGAUCACAUUGUUUUCAGUCUCGUAAGAAAUAAGCAUUUUAACUAACUGAAUGUGCGUAACCGAAUGAUUCACUGGGACAACAAUAAGAAAAUUUCCUCUUUACAACGUAUUUGUACAAGUUAGUCUAAGUUCAACCUAAAUAAUUUCCCAGUUUAGUCUAAGAUUUCUGCAGUUUCUUAAGAUGGGGCUUUGUGCGCAAUGAGUGAGACAGUCAAGUGUGUGUAGUGCGGGGGCAAAGGCCGUACAUGAGAGCAGGAACUUAACUGCAAGCACACAUUUGCGUUGGUGUGAUGGAUUAGCCAUUUAGGGAAUGUAUCUGAACUCUGACAAUCCGUUUGCCUUUGCUUAGGAUAGAUACGGAAACUAUAUAAUUCACACUCUUUGACCUGGCUGCUGACAGCUCCUUCCUGUUGCCUGAGUCUGGUAAAAUAUGCUAAAGGUUGACUGUAGCUCUUCCCCUUUGUUGUGCUUUGAGAAACUCUCAAGUGGCUGAAUCUGGAAUUUGAAUCACCUUUUUAUAUUUCUUCAGGCAUUUUACCAUGCUGUUACAUGGUAAUUGUGAGGAUAAACAUCAUCUUUCUUUCUUGCAAACUCGUAUUAUUAAGAACUGUAGACAGUAUAUUCAGACAUACUUGUAUAUAAGGUUAAAUUCUUGAAUUGUUAUCUUACUGGAGUGUGAUCAUAAUUUGCACAAUUGAAUUAAAAAUAGAUGAAAUGGGAAAACAAUAAAAUACUACUCUAGUCAUGAGUUUUGUCAUCUUGAGACAAAGGCUGAAAGUCAAACCUGUCAGAAAUGAGUUUCAGGAAAAUACAAUGAGAAAAGCCAAGGUGUCAUUUAAAACCUUGAGGUCUUGCUUUCUAUUAGAGGAGAUAAAACUGAAAGCAUAAAAUAAAAUUACUGGUGCUCACUGCAUUCAUUUGAAAUGUCUUUGCCAUUGUAGCAUAGGUAUACUUUGUUUAUGCAGCAGCUUUCCAUCCUUGAUAAUACUAUGGAUCUUUUCUUCUUUAUUCCUGAAAAAAUGUAUAUAGAUGAAGUCAAAAAGUAAAGCUGAUGGUAAAACUGAGUAAAACAGAAAAGUGUCCCUGUAUGUUAAAAUGGAAAUUGUCAUGUGCCUGUAUUGAAUAGCUAAUUUUUCAUCAUUACUUCUUCCUUUUUGCCAGAUUAUGGAUCUUGAUAUCUAUUUAGAAAAAAAAAGAAACAUCAGAUUUCUCUUUUACUAACACACCCGGUGUGUUAGCUUGAAUGCUAACAAAGUAUGGGAGCUCAAGGAAAGACAGGGAAAACUUACGGAAGAGAAAUGCACUGAAAUUUAUUACACAGGCAGAAGUGACACGUGGCUUGGGAGGACUCUGAACUGACAGUAGUUGGAAGUGGGAAAGGCGUUGUGUUUUCGGUUCUUCCCUAGGCCUCUGCUUGCACCUGUUGCUGGAGACAAGAGUUGUCACAAAUAUAUGUGGCAAAUCCUCUGGGUGAUGUGCUGAGGUGCUGUGUGUGCAGCUGUGAGUGGGUGAGUUCCCAGGUUCUGGGAGGCCUCCUUGUCUGCUCCCAGUUGGUCCCAGUUCUGGAUUUUUUUCCACUCUGUUGUAAGCUUUCUGUCUUCUACAAGUUCUUGGAGAUUUCCAGUCUCUUCCUCCCCCAGAUGUCAAUAUCCACUUGCUUUGUUGAUCUAACUGCUCUCCUUCCCUGUCUGUUUAUAUUCCCCUUAGCUUACUUUCAUCCCACUUCCACCAAGCAUGGAGAUAGAAAAAUUCCUUGAACAAAAGGUCAGCAGUCUCUUAACCAGUAGGAGGGUUGGUUUGUGUUUGUUUGUUUUUUCUUCUGUAUUUGUGCACAGAAAUGACUAAUUAUUUUGACUGAAAAUUGAGGUGAAAGGCAGCAGGAUGGGAAUAGCAGUCCAAGGCAGAUGCCUCAGUAUGUGAUUUCAGCUCAAAAUCUAAUUUGGCCAAGAUACAAGAAAGCUGAAAGCGGUUUAGGGCUUGUCUAUAAGGAGAAGAAAUCUGAUAGAGUGCUUUCUUGAGUUCUGCUGUGUAGUUAACACCUGCAUAAUUUAUACUUGCUUUUAUAUAAAUUGGCAACCUUAUCUUAGGAUUUGCCUAGGAAAGGGAUUAUGCCUUUGUCAUAUCUGUCCUCCUUAACGCGGGUAGCAGCCUUUGGAUAAACUACUGCAGACUGGAAGAAUUACAAAGGGACAGAUGGGCAUUGCUAGUCAUUCACAUAUAACUUGCUGUUUUGACCUUUAUUUUGUGGUUUAGAAAUGAAGGUUCAAUGUAAAACAGUGCAAA